UGCAUAGGCCGGAAUUCGAACCCGGGCCGCCCGCGUGGCAGACGAGCAUUCUACCACUGAACCACCGAUGC
RNAcentral lists this transfer RNA (71 nucleotides) under Cordylochernes scorpioides. RNAcentral describes it as "tRNA-Gly". The record is from RNAcentral. Lineage: Eukaryota; Metazoa; Arthropoda; Arachnida; Pseudoscorpiones; Chernetidae.